CGAAAAGAGGAAGACUCCAUUUGCUUAUUCUCACUCCCAGUCUUACCCUGCCAGCUCAGGGAUUUCUAAGUAAGGCUAAAUCUGGAUCUUGUUUACAGGAUUUGGCUUUUUUUUUUUUGUUUUUGUUUUUUUUUUCGGAGCUGGGGACCGAACCCAGGGCCUUGCGCUUCCUAGGUAAGCGCUCUACCACUGAGCUAAAUCCCCAGCCCCAGGAUUUGGCAUUUCUAAUUAAUGCUUAUGUUUAGGUAAAUAAAGCUGGUGAGGGGCUAGAGAGAUGGCUUAAUGGUUAAGAGCACUAAGUACUGUUCCUUUAGAGGCCAUUUAAUAACUCAAACUGGAUUGCCUGGACCCCUUAGCAAGGGAGGACAAUGAUACCAGGCAGAUUAUAGGCCUUACAUAGGAACAAUUAGUCAAAAAAUCUCAUUCUUUAUAUAACCAAAACAAUAAUGCUGGAGACAAUAAUUUGGUAUACAAGUCAAUUUAUAAAUGCAAGUGCUCAGUGUCCUUAAUUUAAUCCUUGAGGACUUAUCUUAAUAAAUAAUAUCUUAACAAUAUCUCAAUAAAUAAAAAGGGGGAGUUACAUCCCUGUAUGCUAUACAAUUAUUUAAUAAUACUCCUUUUAUUUCCAAUUUUAAAAUCUGUAUGCCAAGGAAUACUCUGAGUAU
Molecule: long non-coding RNA, 665 nt
Filed under: Rattus norvegicus (Norway rat)
Lineage: Eukaryota; Metazoa; Chordata; Mammalia; Rodentia; Muridae
Description: long non-coding RNA NONRATT010829
Source: RNAcentral